RNAcentral lists this non-coding RNA (29 nucleotides) under Mus musculus (house mouse). Lineage: Eukaryota; Metazoa; Chordata; Mammalia; Rodentia; Muridae. The record is from RNAcentral.
UAGAAGGAAAUGCAGAUGAGGCAGAGGGG